Molecule: ribosomal RNA, 47 nt
Filed under: Trichoderma asperellum
Lineage: Eukaryota; Fungi; Ascomycota; Sordariomycetes; Hypocreales; Hypocreaceae
Description: partial 18S ribosomal RNA
Source: RNAcentral
UGCGGAGGGAUCAUUACCGAGUUUACAACUCCCAAACCCAAUGUGAA